CACCCUGUAGAAUCGAAUUUGUGUGAGUUCUGAGCCACAGAUUCGUCUCUAGGGGGGUA
This 59-nucleotide microRNA precursor is filed under the name Xenopus laevis (African clawed frog). RNAcentral's name for it is "Xla-Mir-10-P1d3-v1_pre stem-loop". Lineage: Eukaryota; Metazoa; Chordata; Amphibia; Anura; Pipidae. The record is from RNAcentral.